This 492-nucleotide ribosomal RNA is filed under the name uncultured bacterium. RNAcentral describes it as "partial 16S ribosomal RNA". It matches the Rfam family "Bacterial small subunit ribosomal RNA", at positions 28 to 507 of the family's 1533-position model. The record is from RNAcentral.
GACGAACGCUGGCGGCGUGCUUAACACAUGCAAGUCGAACGGAAAGGCCCCCACUUUGUUGGUGGGGUUGCUCGAGUGGCGAACUGGUGAGUACCACGUUGGUGAUCUGCCCUGUACUUCGGGAUAAGCUUGGGCAGCUGGGUCUACUACCUGAUAGUUUCAAGGUUUUGGUUCUCAAGGUGGAAAAAUUCUUGUUUUGGUUCAGGAUUAGCUCGGGGCCUAUCAGCUUGUUGGUGGGGUUAUGGCCUACCAAGGCGUCGACGGCAUGCCGGACCGAGAGGGUGGACGGCCACAUUGGGACUGAGAGACGGCCCAGCCUCCUACGGGAGGCAGCAGUGGGGAAUAUCGAACAAUGGGAGCAAGCCGGAUGCAGCGACGCCGCGUGGGGGAUGACGUCCUUCGGGUUGUAAACUCCUUUCGUGAGGGACGAAGCCGCACCUUUUUUGGGUGUGGUGACGGUACCUUUGUUAAGAAGCACCGGCUAACUACGUG